Schizosaccharomyces pombe (fission yeast) is the source of this 831-nucleotide non-coding RNA. Lineage: Eukaryota; Fungi; Ascomycota; Schizosaccharomycetes; Schizosaccharomycetales; Schizosaccharomycetaceae. The record is from the annotation of a GenBank genome assembly.
GAAGAAACAAGCGUCAAUAAAGUUGCUUCUUUUUAGUUCAUAAUGCGUUAUCACAGAAAUCUCAAAAAUUCCGUACCAUUUCAUGCUUCAACAUAAAAAGCACUCCUUUUUCUCGAUCUAACUCUCCAAAUUUCUGAAUAACUGGUGCUUCUGACUCGGGGUUUGAGGUGUCAGUACCUUUUUUUAUUUCUAUGACUAUAAUCACCUUUAUUAGUACCGACGAACUUGUGAGUGGAUUUCUUACAUUUUAAUUGCCCGAUUUCAUCACCAAGAAGCAAUUUCAUCUUGAAAUACUACAACUUUUGUCGUAUAUCGCAAGAAUCGAUUUGGUUGUUGAAAUGGGUAAUGAGAAAAACUUUCACCACGAAGGUAGGAACGUGUCCUUUUAAAGGGCAAAUUUUAAAACCAUUUUAAAAAACCUUACAAGGUAAAAUAAAAAAAAGAAUGAAUUGUCAAUUUAAUUUAGGAAAUGUCAUUUAUUGAAUGGAUAAUUUAGCUUAUCGAUAAAAAAAGGUUGUAAACGGACUAAUCGCUCACAUGUACUUGAAUAUAAGAAGAAUUGUAAUAUAUCAUUUUCUAUAGAAUAAGUGCUCGUCAAAGGAAACUGAGUUUUGCAGCUGAUUCAUUUAAUUGAAAGUUUACAACGUUAGCGUGUCAAGUUGCCUUAUCAAUGAAUGGGAUUUAAAUAAUUUCUUAAACAGUUAUUUUUUUUAUAGGAAUAAAGCAAGGUGGAAAAACAUAGUUUGGUCAGUAAGUAUACGAGAAGAAGUUUGAACUAUGUAACAGCUUCAAAUGUUUAUCGAUAAUGAAGUUAGAGCGCUCUACGAAAUA